RNAcentral lists this long non-coding RNA (4457 nucleotides) under Homo sapiens (human). RNAcentral describes it as "non-protein coding lnc-NOXO1-2:1". The record is from RNAcentral. Lineage: Eukaryota; Metazoa; Chordata; Mammalia; Primates; Hominidae.
GGCCGCUCGGCGCCACGACCGGCCGAGAGGGGGGCCGGAUCCCGGACCAUGGCGGCGGCCGGGGGGCGCCGAGGGGCGGCGCGCGGACAUGGAGGCGGAGGCGGCGGCAGCUCCUGAGCGGGGAGGCGGGAGCUGCGUGCUGUGCUGCGGAGACCUGGAGGCCACGGCGCUGGGGCCGCUGCGACCACCCGGUGUGCUACCGCUGCUCUACCAAGAUGCGGGUGCUCUGCGAGCAGCGCUACUGCGCCGUGUGCCGCGAGGAGCUGCGCCAGGUGGUCUUUGGGAAGAAGCUUCCUGCCUUUGCCACCAUCCCCAUCCACCAGCUGCAGCAUGAGAAGAAAUAUGAUAUCUACUUUGCAGAUGGAAAGGUGUACGCAUUGUACAGGUGAGCAGGGCCUCUCCCUGGGUCCUGGCCUCCCUGUGGUUGUGGCCCUUCACGUCCCACUCUCCUCACAACCGGAGGCACUUCGGGGGCCACCUGGUGCACCAAUGCUGGGGCCAGGCACCUGGGUUUCCAUCCUGUGACUGGGGAGGCUUACCAGGCCCUCCUGGGGGUAGAGCUGGUGGUUGUGCUGGGGAAAGGCAUGCCCAGGUGGUGCAGCACCUGCCUCGGGGGCACCUUGAGGGGCACACGAGGUGUGUGAGCCAGGCCCGUGGCCUGAAAAUCCUAUAAAGGGUACAGCUGUCCCAGGGCUGGUCUCUCAGAGGAGGGGCAGCUCAUGGGCUCAGGGCUAGAGCCAGGCUUCUGACCCAGGCCAUGUGCACAGCCAUGGCCUUGCAUCUGUCCUGGGUCACGGGCCUGGGGCCUGGUGAGUGGCCCUGCUCCCGGCGGUGACACUGAAUGUCCUGGGGCCGUGGGCGGCUCUCGGUGUCUUCCUAGGCAGCUGCUGCAGCACGAGUGCCCGCGGUGCCCCGAGCUGCCACCUUUCAGCCUCUUCGGGGACCUGGAGCAGCACAUGCGGAGGCAGCAUGAGCUCUUCUGCUGCCGUCUGUGCCUCCAGCACCUCCAGGUGUGCCCCCCCAGCGACCCCGGAGAGAGCCUAGGCGGUGGGUGGUGCAAGGGAUGUGGCCACACGGCUGGGAGGGGCUUGUCCACCUGCUGCUUCUGGCCCCGGAUGGCCCCCUGAGGGUCAGGCUGCACGUGGCAGGGAGGCCUCUGGCUGCUGGCGGGGCCCUCUCCCGCCCCUUGCUGCUCCGCCACUGGCCUGUGGGAAGAGGCAGGAGGCUUGGGGUCCCCCAGCCUGUGCCCAGCCUCCUGUGCCUUGUAGAUCUUCACAUAUGAGCGCAAGUGGUACUCGCGCAAGGACCUGGCCCGGCAUCGCAUGCAGGGUGACCCCGAUGACACGUCGCACCGUGGGCACCCGCUCUGCAAGUUCUGUGACGAGCGCUACCUGGACAAUGAUGAGCUGCUUAAGCACCUGCGCCGCGACCACUACUUCUGCCACUUCUGCGACUCGGACGGGGCCCAGGACUACUACAGCGACUAUGCCUACCUGCGUGAGCACUUCCGGGAGAAGCACUUUCUGUGUGAGGAAGGCCGCUGCAGCACGGAGCAGUUCACCCACGCCUUCCGCACCGAGAUCGACCUCAAGGCCCACAGGACGGCCUGCCACAGUCGCAGCCGCGCCGAGGCACGCCAGAACCGCCACAUCGACCUGCAGUUCAGCUACGCGCCACGGCACUCGCGCCGGAACGAGGGGGUCGUUGGUGGCGAAGACUACGAGGAGGUGGACAGGUACAGCCGCCAGGGCCGAGUGGCCCGGGCUGGCACUCGCGGAGCCCAGCAGAGCCGCCGAGGAAGCUGGAGGUACAAAAGGGAAGAAGAGGACCGAGAAGUAGCAGCUGCUGUCCGGGCCUCCGUGGCCGCACAGCAGCAGGAGGAGGCUCGCAGGAGUGAGGAUCAGGAGGAAGGCGGUAGGCCCAAGAAGGAGGAGGCAGCGGCGCGGGGACCUGAGGAUCCCCGUGGCCCCCGGCGCUCACCCCGGACUCAGGGCGAAGGCCCAGGCCCCAAGGAAACCUCGACAAAUGGUCCUGUAAGCCAAGAAGCCUUCUCGGUGACAGGCCCAGCCGCCCCAGGGUGUGUGGGGGUGCCAGGGUGAGAGUAUGGGCGCCCAGGGGUGAAUGGUGCAUGGUGGGCGGGUGCGGGCAGCCACAGGUGGGUGCCGGGAGGGCAGGUAUGGAGCCACGGGGCCUGAUAGCUGUUGACCAGCUGUGCUUCCCUGCACCCAGCGCCCUCCCACCACCCAGCCCGAAGCUCAAGGACGAAGACUUCCCCAGCCUCUCUGCCUCCACUUCCUCCUCCUGCUCCACUGCAGCAACCCCGGGCCCUGUGGGGUUGGCGCUGCCGUACGCCAUCCCUGCCAGAGGCAGGAGUGCCUUCCAGGAGGAGGACUUCCCCGCCCUGGUGUCCUCGGUGCCCAAGCCUGGCACCGCCCCCACCAGCCUUGUCUCUGCCUGGAACAGCAGCAGUAGCAGCAAGAAGGUAGCACAGCCCCCACUCUCGGCGCAGGCUACCGGCAGCGGCCAGCCCACCAGGAAGGCUGGGAAGGGGAGCAGGGGCGGCAGGAAGGGCGGCCCGCCCUUCACACAGGAGGAGGAGGAGGACGGCGGCCCGGCCCUGCAGGAGCUUCUGAGCACACGCCCCACGGGCUCCGUCUCCUCCACACUGGGGCUGGCCUCCAUCCAACCCUCUAAAGUUGGGAAGAAGAAGAAAGUGGGCUCGGAGAAGCCAGGCACCACAUUGCCACAGCCCCCGCCCGCUACCUGUCCCCCAGGGGCUUUGCAGGCCCCGGAAGCUCCUGCCAGCAGAGCCGAGGGGCCAGUUGCCGUCGUCGUUAAUGGACACAUGGAGGGCCCGGCCCCUGCUCGGAGUGCCCCCAAGGAACCCCCUGGGCUCCCAAGGCCCCUGGGGUCCUUCCCCUGCCCCACGCCACAGGAGGACUUCCCAGCGCUCGGCGGCCCCUGCCCACCCCGGAUGCCGCCGCCCCCAGGCUUCAGCGCUGUGGUGCUCCUGAAGGGCACGCCUCCCCCACCCCCGCCGGGCCUGGUGCCCCCAAUCAGCAAGCCGCCCCCUGGCUUCUCUGGCCUUCUGCCUAGCCCCCACCCGGCCUGUGUCCCCAGCCCCGCCACCACCACCACCACAAAAGCGUAAGUGUGGGUGAGCUGCCUGGUGUCCACCGGGGGUGGAGGAACGGUACCCUCCCCUUGGGCCACUGUGAAGGCUGAAGCCUCCACCUCCUCUUUACCUUCUGACCCCCAGACCCAGGCUGCUGCCUGCCCCACGGGCGUACCUAGUCCCCGAGAACUUCCGGGAGAGGAACCUUCAGCUCAUCCAGUCCAUCAGGGACUUCCUGCAGAGCGACGAGGCCCGCUUCAGCGAGUUCAAGAGCCACUCAGGGGAGUUCAGACAGGUCAGGCGGGCCCGGGGAGUCCAGAUGGGUCAGGCGGGCCCGGGGCGGGGUGCCAGCCCGUCUUCAUCCAGGGCCCGGGCCAGAGGGGAUGACUGAGUCCGGCUCUCCGGUGGCAGGGCCUGAUCUCCGCAGCCCAGUAUUACAAGAGUUGCCGGGACCUGCUGGGGGAGAAUUUCCAGAAGGUCUUUAAUGAGCUGCUGGUCCUGCUGCCCGACACGGCCAAGCAGCAGGAGCUCCUGUCUGCACACACGGACUUCUGCAACCGCGAGAAGCCUCUGAGCACCAAGUCCAAGAAGAACAAGAAGAGCGCGUGGCAGGCCACCACCCAGCAGGCGGGCCUGGACUGCCGUGUGUGCCCCACCUGCCAGCAGGUGCUCGCGCAUGGCGAUGCCAGCAGCCACCAGGCGCUGCAUGCUGCCCGGGACGACGACUUCCCCUCCCUGCAAGCCAUCGCCAGGAUCAUCACGUAGCUCCCGCCAGCGUGGCCAGAGCUGUCGCACCGUGAGCGUCCUUCCUCCUUCCUCUCCGGGCUGCCAGGCAGCCAGGUAAGGCCUGGUGAGGCCACUUGGCCUCUUGGUUGGCCAGGCCCACCAGGAAGUCACCAGGACAGUCCACCCGCCCUGUUGGCACACUCAAGCGGGAGUCCACCCCUGCCUCAGUGGUGGGCCAGUCUCGGUUUGCAUUCUUGUGCUUUUGGGAGGUGCCAGGGGAGGGAAGGGCUGGGAUGCUGGGACCUGUUGUUGCUGGCAAAGCCAGAGGUCACAGUGGCCUGAUCUGGGCCCUCCCAAAGCUGAGGGCUGCAGCCCGUGGGGCCUCAGAGCUGAAAGCUGCGGCGCCACUGGUGCCAGAGUCAGAUGUCACAGAUGUGUUGUGUAAACAGUUGGCUGUUUCAUGCUUCAAGAAUGUUCAGGAUUAAAAGCAGACAAGAAAUUGUGCUACUUGAAGUUGAAUCUUUUUAUGAGACAAGCUGAAUCUGGGAUCUCAAAUUGCCUCUGACCUUUUAUAAGACAGUUUAUCUUCAAAUAAAUUUAUUUUGCAAUACCACGC